Molecule: ribosomal RNA, 712 nt
Filed under: uncultured Bacteroidota bacterium
Lineage: Bacteria; Pseudomonadati; Bacteroidota
Description: bacterial SSU rRNA
Rfam family: Bacterial small subunit ribosomal RNA
Source: RNAcentral
UGCAAGUCGUGGGGCAGCAUGGGUGUAGCAAUACAUCUGAUGGCGACCGGCAAACGGGUGCGGAACACGUACGCAACCUUCCUUUAAGUGGGGGAUAGCCCAGAGAAAUUUGGAUUAAUACCCCGUAAUAUUAAGAAGUGGCAUCACUUUAUAAUUAUAGCUUCGGCGCUUGAAGAUGGGCGUGCGGCUGAUUAGGUAGUUGGCGGGGUAACGGCCCACCAAGCCUUCGAUCAGUAACUGGUGUGAGAGCACGACCAGUCACACGGGCACUGAGACACGGGCCCGACUCCUACGGGAGGCAGCAGUAAGGAAUAUUGGUCAAUGGGCGCAAGCCUGAACCAGCCAUGCCGCGUGGAGGAUGAAGGCCCUCUGGGUUGUAAACUUCUUUUAUUUGGGAAGAAAUCCAUUUUUUCUAAGAUGGUUGACGGUACCAGAUGAAUAAGCACCGGCUAACUCCGUGCCAGCAGCCGCGGUAAUACGGAGGGUGCAAGCGUUAUCCGGAUUCACUGGGUUUAAAGGGUGCGUAGGUGGGCAGGUAAGUCAGUGGUGAAAUCUCCGGGCUUAACCCGGAAACUGCCGUUGAUACUAUCUGUCUUGAAUGUCGUGGAGGUGGGCGGAAUAUGUCAUGUAGCGGUGAAAUGCUUAGAUAUGACAUAGAACACCAAUUGCGAAGGCAGCUCACUACACGAUGAUUGACGCUGAGGCACGAAAG